CCUACGGGGGGCAGCAGUGGGGAAUAUUGCACAAUGGGCGCAAGCCUGAUGCAGCCAUACCGCGUGUGUGAAGAAGGCCUUCGGGUUGUAAAGCACUUUCAGCGGGGAGGAAGGCGUUAAGGUUAAUAACCUUGUCGAUUGACGUUACCCGCAGAAGAAGCACCGGCUAACUCCGUGCCAGCAGCCGCGGUAAUAUGGAGGGUGCAAGCGUUAAUCGGAAUUACUGGGCGUAAAGCGCACGCAGGCGGUCUGUCAAGUCGGAUGUGAAAUCCCCGGGCUCAACCUGGGAACUGCAUUCGAAACUGGCAGGCUAGAGUCUUGUAGAGGGGGGUAGAAUUCCAGGUGUAGCGGUGAAAUGCGUAGAGACCUGGAGGAAUACCGGUGGCGAAGGCGGCCCCCUGGACAAAGACUGACGCUCAGGUGCGAAAGCGUGGGGAGCAAACAGGAUUAGAUACCCUGGUAGUC
This 465-nucleotide ribosomal RNA is filed under the name uncultured Klebsiella sp. RNAcentral's name for it is "bacterial SSU rRNA". It matches the Rfam family "Bacterial small subunit ribosomal RNA", at positions 338 to 795 of the family's 1533-position model. Lineage: Bacteria; Pseudomonadati; Pseudomonadota; Gammaproteobacteria; Enterobacterales; Enterobacteriaceae. The record is from RNAcentral.